CUCCAAAGCCACCAUAACGUACC
Molecule: non-coding RNA, 23 nt
Filed under: Arabidopsis thaliana (thale cress)
Lineage: Eukaryota; Viridiplantae; Streptophyta; Magnoliopsida; Brassicales; Brassicaceae
Source: RNAcentral